AUCCAGCUGACGAGUCCCAAAUAAAACGAAACUCACGUCUUGAAU
RNAcentral lists this non-coding RNA (45 nucleotides) under Schistosoma mattheei. Lineage: Eukaryota; Metazoa; Platyhelminthes; Trematoda; Strigeidida; Schistosomatidae. The record is from RNAcentral.